AAUAAUACCAACGUAUAAAAUUCAGGGUGGAAACAGAAAAUCAGUUUUUGGGUUCUCUUUAGAGAACAGAGGAGUCACUCCAUUAGAGCUGAGAGAGAGGGAAUGAUUCUCAGUCUCCCAUUUGUUCUCUGGUUUCAGGUCCCCUUGUGUUUCAACUUCUACUCCAGGGGUCAAAGUGAAAUGUUCUAAUAUCUACUCGAAGGCCACUUCCUUGAUUGCUUGGUCGGCCAGGGGACUACUACUAUAAUCUGUAUUAGUAAAAUAUUCACCAAAAUGAGUUGUUCUGCGAACAACAAGCCAAUAGCUGCUCAUCGGAAGGUCCUUCUGAAACCAAGAACGGGGAAUAGGGGCAGGAGGAGGAGGAGGAGGAGGAGGAAAAAAAAGAAGCAUAAGGCAACAGGCUUGUCAGCUGUGUUUCUAGGUUUGUGAGGAUUACUGCAGACAGGGCCAAGGGGCUGUCCGGAAAGCAAGUUUUGAACGUGGAGUCAAAGAACCCUUACCAGAUGCAUCCGCUCGAGGAAGCCUUUAGCUGUCCGGAUAGGCCUGGGAGUUGUCCGGACAGCAGGCGCGAAUCUGCAGUUUCGGGACGGCUUGUAUAAAUUGAUUUUGUAGGGUUUUUUCAUAAACCCAAUUGAGAGAAGCGCCGUUUUUUGGAGAGAAAAAUCCCUAGAUAGUGAGAGAGAGCUUGAAUCAUUGUAUUUGGUGGGUAUAUCCACUUGUACUCUUCUCCAAACAUAGUGAAUUGGUCUAUGGUGCCCGUGGAUGUAGGCUUACGCCGAACCACGUAAA
Long non-coding RNA from Tripterygium wilfordii, 789 nucleotides. RefSeq lists it as uncharacterized. Lineage: Eukaryota; Viridiplantae; Streptophyta; Magnoliopsida; Celastrales; Celastraceae. The transcript is spliced from 4 exons. The record is from RefSeq and is a predicted model, not a curated record.